This 425-nucleotide ribosomal RNA is filed under the name uncultured bacterium. RNAcentral's name for it is "partial 16S ribosomal RNA". It matches the Rfam family "Bacterial small subunit ribosomal RNA", at positions 354 to 796 of the family's 1533-position model. The record is from RNAcentral.
GUGGGGAAUCUUGCGCAAUGGGCGAAAGCCUGACGCAGCCAUGCCGCGUGAAUGAUGAAGGUCUUAGGAUUGUAAAAUUCUUUCACCGGGGACGAUAAUGACGGUACCCGGAGAAGAAGCCCCGGCUAACUUCGUGCCAGCAGCCGCGGUAAUACGAAGGGGGCUAGCGUUGCUCGGAAUUACUGGGCGUAAAGGGCGCGUAGGCGGACAGUUUAGUCAGAGGUGAAAGCCCAGGGCUCAACCUUGGAAUUGCCUUUGAUACUGGCUGUCUUGAGUACGGGAGAGGUGAGUGGAACGCCGAGUGUAGAGGUGAAAUUCGUAGAUAUUCGGAAGAACACCAGUGGCGAAGGUGACUCACUGGCCCGUUACUGACGCUGAGGCGCGAAAGCGUGGGGAGCAAACAGGAUUAGAUACCCGAGUAGUCC